Molecule: RNA transcript, 1406 nt
Organism: Carica papaya (papaya)
Lineage: Eukaryota; Viridiplantae; Streptophyta; Magnoliopsida; Brassicales; Caricaceae
Gene name: craniofacial development protein
Source: RefSeq, a predicted model, not a curated record
CCCCACUGAAACAAUCACUGCUGGACCCUUAAAACCCCAGCAUCUCCACUCUCCAGACUUCAAUGGCUUCCUCUUCGCCAAACUCACUGCUCUUCUGAAACUUGUAUCAUCCUCCAAUACCCUUUAUCUCUUCCCUUCAAAAUAUUUAAAAAGAACCCUUAAAUCCGAUCAUGUUUCUCCUCAAAUCUCUCCUCGGAACCCGAACCCCUCUUUACAUUCCUCAUAAGUCCCUAUGUCCUUCAAAUUUCUUCCGAUCUCUUACUUCCUCAUCCCCCCAAACCAUUCCCGCAACAACCCAAGACGAGAUUAGCCACAAAGAGAAGAAACCACUCUAUGUUUUAUUCGAAGAAGCAGUAGGAUUGCGUCCCAGAACGGAAACCGAUGGACACGGAAGGGAAAACCGCGAAUUUAACAAGAGGUUAAUUGAAUUAGAGAGAGAACUGAGGGAGCUGAAGGAAGCAGAUUCUUCGGAGGGAAAAGAAAAUUUGCCGCGGACGAAUCCAGAGCAGUUAAAGAAAUCAGAGAAAAUGGAGGAUAGCAAGAGCUUAUUCUCGCUGUUUGCUGGAAAGGGGAGAAAAAAUCAGGGAAAUAGGAUGAGAGAGGAAGCGGGAAGGAUUCUCAAGGAGCUUCAACCGGAAAUGGAGUUGUUUCUGAAGGUUCUCUAUAAAGAAGGGUACUUCAAUAAAGCCAAUUUUUUGCCUGGGAGUAGGUUUGAUAGUGGGUGUUUUGAUAAUAGCUACGGAAGGGAGUAUAUCAAGUUUUCCAUUGAGAAGUUCGGCAAGGAUCAUCAAGAAAUUGGAAAAUGGUUGUCAGGCAGUGAGGUUAAAAAGGUGGCCCUCUUUGGUUGCCCUUCCCUCGAUAGAAAGACUGUUUUUUCUGCUAAACGACUGCGCAAGUUUUUUGAAAUUCAAGAAGAUACUGUGUGCAAUAAAUGCACAUUAAGAGAGUCAUGCAAGUUCGUAAACCAGAGUGUAUGGAAAGGUGAUACAAAUAAUUUGAAUUUGGCUGAUGUACUGAGGAUCAUAACUCUGUAUGCUUCAGGGUUGGUGCCUAAGGAGCUGGAAGUUCCUGAUGAAAUAAUGGUUUCUGUUAGUAAAUUGCUGAAGGACGUCAUCCGUUUGAGUGAAACUACAACACAAGGCUACUUGUGAUGACAUGCCCAGAUGUCCUGUUGUUUCUAAUAUAAUUAUUUGCUUUACCAAAGAAGAGUAUGUAGUAGCGAUUUCUUGUCAUGCACAUCGGAGUUCCAUGAGCUGCGGGAUCUAAUUAUUCGGCCAAAGAUGAAAAAGAGAGAAGAAAAGAAUUUGUUGGUUAUCGGUUAUGAAGUUGUUAGCAUUUUCCAUCAUUGCAAACGUGAACGACCACCCUCCCCUCUCUCUUCAACAACAACAGAAUAAUACGUAAAA